Molecule: ribosomal RNA, 426 nt
Filed under: Triticum aestivum (bread wheat)
Lineage: Eukaryota; Viridiplantae; Streptophyta; Magnoliopsida; Poales; Poaceae
Description: partial small subunit ribosomal RNA
Source: RNAcentral
AUGAAUAGUCUAGAGGUUUGGAGGGGUUCUAGAAUAAUCUGUUUCCCGGAGAAAAGGAGAAACAUCUGGACUAUUAGUGUUUUGGAGGUUGGUUGGGCACAAUACGUCUCAGUCUCAAUCUCAACCUUAUAUUUCAGAUCGGACGGUAUAUAUAGCCUGAAGGCAGACACACCAUCAUCAUCAACUCGUAUUUUUAUAGGAGUAAAGAUUCAUAAAAUAUUAACAUGCACAAACAAUUUAUUAUUUUCAAGUAGGAAACCAUGGCUACUGCAAGACCAUUAUGCAAGUGGCUGUCGUGGCUUGCUUGGGAAUGAAGAGCUCACCGGGAAGAAGUGCACAAGGAUCGCGGAAAGAUUUGCCGGAAACAGUUCUCUCUCGGAGGGGCUAGAUAAGGGCAAGGGUAAUAUGGUCAUUUCCAGUAUGUGA